UAGAUGACUGGACGUUACCCACAGAAGAAGCACCGGCUAACUCCGUGCCAGCAGCCGCGGUAAUACGGAGGGUGCAAGCGUUAAUCGGAAUUACUGGGCGUAAAGCGUGCGUAGGUGGUUUGAUAAGUUAUCUGUGAAAUCCCUGGGCUCAACCUGGGCAGGUCAGAUAAUACUGUUGAACUCGAGUAUGGGAGAGGGUAGUGGAAUUUCCGGUGUAGCGGUGAAAUGCGUAGAGAUCGGAAGGAACACCAGUGGCGAAGGCGGCUACCUGGCCUAAUACUGACACUGAGGCACGAAAGCGUGGGGAGCAAACAGGAUUGGAUACCCUGGUAGUCCACGCCGUAA
This 345-nucleotide ribosomal RNA is filed under the name uncultured Legionella sp. RNAcentral's name for it is "bacterial SSU rRNA". It matches the Rfam family "Bacterial small subunit ribosomal RNA", at positions 461 to 805 of the family's 1533-position model. Lineage: Bacteria; Pseudomonadati; Pseudomonadota; Gammaproteobacteria; Legionellales; Legionellaceae. The record is from RNAcentral.